Molecule: ribosomal RNA, 746 nt
Filed under: uncultured bacterium
Lineage: Bacteria
Description: bacterial SSU rRNA
Rfam family: Bacterial small subunit ribosomal RNA
Source: RNAcentral
GGACGAACGCUGGCGGCGUGCUUAACACAUGCAAGUCGAGCGAUGAAGCUUCCUUCGGGAAGUGGAUUAGCGGCGGACGGGUGAGUAACACGUGGGUAACCUGCCUCAAAGUGGGGGAUAGCCUUCCGAAAGGAAGAUUAAUACCGCAUAAUAUGAGAGAAUCGCAUGAUUUUCUUAUCAAAGAUUUAUUGCUUUGAGAUGGACCCGCGGCGCAUUAGCUAGUUGGUAAGGUAACGGCUUACCAAGGCAACGAUGCGUAGCCGACCUGAGAGGGUGAUCUGCCACAUUGGAACUGAGACACGGUCCAGACUCCUACGGGAGGCAGCAGUGGGGAAUAUUGCGCAAUGGGGGAAACCCUGACGCAGCAACGCCGCGUGGGUGAUGAAGGUCUUCGGAUUGUAAAGCCCUGUUUUCUGGGACGAUAAUGACGGUACCAGAGGAGGAAGCCACGGCUAACUACGUGCCAGCAGCCGCGGUAAUACGUAGGUGGCGAGCGUUGUCCGGAUUUACUGGGCGUAAAGGGUGCGUAGGCGGAUGUUUAAGUGGGAUGUGAAAUCCCCGGGCUUAACCUGGGGGCUGCAUUCCAAACUGGAUAUCUAGAGUGCAGGAGAGGAAAGCGGAAUUCCUAGUGUAGCGGUGAAAUGCGUAGAGAUUAGGAAGGACACCAGUGGCGAAGGCGGCUUUCUGGACUGUAACUGACGCUGAGGCACGAAAGCGUGGGUAGCAACUGGAUUAGAUACCCUGGU